UUUUACUUUUCAUCCGUAUACUCCAUUUUGUCGUUGUCGUGAAUAGACGUUAUACUUACACCAAACAGUUUUAGUGAAAAAUUAAAUAAAUCAAACCGCUAAAUAAUUUUUUAACAUUUUAAAAUGAGUUACGGUCGACCACCUCCCCGCAUUGACGGGAUGGUGUCUUUAAAAGUUGAUAAUUUAACAUACAGAACGACACCGGAAGAUUUACGACGCGUUUUCGAGAGAUGUGGCGAAGUUGGCGACAUUUAUAUCCCUCGAGAUCGCUUUACUCGUGAAAGUCGUGGAUUUGCUUUUGUAAGGUUUUACGAUAAACGUGAUGCCGAAGAUGCAUUAGAUGCUAUGGAUGGUCGUUUGUUGGAUGGAAGGGAGCUUCGUGUGCAGAUGGCACGGUAUGGAAGACCUACUUCUCCUCAUCGAAGUCGAGGAAGCCGACGACGCGGAAGAUCUCGAAGUCGCAGCCGAGAUCGCAGACGAUCUCGUUCAAGAUCUCGUUCUAGAUCACGAAGCCGAGAUAGAGAUCGAAGGCGUUCUUAUUCUCGUAGUCGCAGUCGCUCACGUUCCGACAGUAAAAGUUCUAGAGGAAAAUCUCGCUCUCGCAGCAAGUCAGCAGACAGAGAAAAUAGUCGCUCAAAAUCCAGGGACUGAAGUGUUGAUAAAAAUGUAUGAAAGUACAAUGGAAUGAGAUGUACGUGCCGAGUUACAUGCAGAUAAUUCUGAAAUUUAUAAAAGGCGGUGGAAAGGAGUGGCGUUUCGAGUGAUGGGGGUAAGCUGAGAGUAAGCAGAGUAAGCCGAUGUAGCGGGGCUGAAUGCAGUUUGCUGUAAGCGAGCGGUUGGUGGUCUGGUGAAAAGCAGGUUCGCGUGCAGGGUUGCUGUGAGUGAGGACGCGUGCUCACUCUAUCACUCUGGGGGGUUGGAGCGCAGUUAGGAUCAUGUUCGAGAAAAUAAGAAACAAGAAUAAUCAUCAGAGCUGCCCUGGGCCUCUGAAAUCAUCUGGUGUAGCAGUCUAGUAGAGCUGAUAUGGCCGUGAUCAUCACCAGACCUCGGGAAUGCUGACGAAAAAAAGAGUUCCGGUUCGAUCUUCAUAAUCUUUCUCGAUAACACCUUAAGAAAGAAUUAUGAAAUGAUGAAACUGAUGAUUCUUCCAACGUUUCCAAUACAAUUCAAAAUAUUUGCAGUUUUGAAUCCAUGAAGUUCUACAAAUAAUCGUCACUUUCAAACCGAUAAGUAACACGUACACCGAUGAUGUAAGUAUAAAAAAACAAAUUCGAUUAGUUACUAUUUGAUAAUAAUUAUUUGACAUAUAAUUUAUUUAUUCAGCUGGUAGGUAACAAUUAUUUAUUUUAGAAUUUUUAAAAAU
This 1363-nucleotide unclassified non-coding RNA is filed under the name Chelonus insularis. Its description in RNAcentral is "serine/arginine-rich splicing factor 2, transcript variant X3". Lineage: Eukaryota; Metazoa; Arthropoda; Insecta; Hymenoptera; Braconidae. The record is from RNAcentral.